UAAUGUACCAUGUGUUCCUACAUUGUCGAGAAAUAGUUCCGUUUAUUUUAUUUGCUGCUCCUUAAUCUUUUUACCAGUUUAAUCUAGAAAGUGUAUCCAUUUCACUAGGCUGUUAAAGCCCUGCGCUGUCCUCCUUACUCCUUCAACUUUCUUGAGUGUUAUGUCAUCUACAAACUUUGAAAUUAAGCUUGAUAAUGGCACAAUGGUGCAGAAAAUGAUGCUGUUACCUCAAAGCUCCAGGGACCCAGGUUUAAUCGUUAAAUCAAGUGCUGUCAGUGUGAAGUUUGCACUGUGAUUGUUUGGUUUACCCCAGGACCUUCAGUUUUCUCCACACCCCAAAAAACAAACUGAUGAAUUUGCUGCACAAGAGACUACAGAGGCUGGAAUCUGGGGCAACAAAAGAACUGGUGGAGGAACUCAGCGGGUGAGAUAAUUAUAUUCAGUGCAAAAGAGUUACGAGAUUUUAAUAGUUAGACGAAUCUUGGCACUGGCUUUCCAAUGUUUUUAUGUAUCUCUGAAAGAAAACACUUUAAUUAUGUCUGAACAUUUCAUUCUGAUUUAAUAAAAGAGCUCUUGGCUGUCGCCUUUGCUCCAGUAAGACAUAUCUGAAUGUCUAUGUAGUUGUUUUAAUGGCAAUCAAAUCAGUGAGGAUGGCCCAGGUCAGCACAACACAUGUACCCAGAAGACGGGGGAUUUCAAUGGAGCUGACAAAAUAAAUAUUAUACAAUAAACACAUUGUUCUCUAUUUUUAUGUUGCAAACAUGUCAUUGACUCCACACAACAACCCUUGUGUUAUAGAUGCAGAAACUGCCUUGGCAGAAUUCACAAAUCACGGCCCAAAAAUGUGCGAUAUGGAAUAAAAUUUGCUGUCACAGAAUUUAUGUGAAAAAAAACAUUUUUUUUAAACUCGUGUUUUAAACAUGAGCUUAUGCUUAGCUUCAUUCACAGAGAAUGACAAAACAUACUCAAGGUGCAAAACAAAUAUCCCCGUUUCUGUUGUCCAUGGACCACUGUGCCUAAUUUUAGUUGCACUCAUCCACUAUCCAAACAUUUUUCUUGUAUACCUCUCAUAGCGAUAAAAGACCUUCACCCAUCUUGUGGACCAUGAACAAACUAAGACAUAUUAAGGUCAUAAAGAAUAGGAGUAGAAUUAGGCCAUUUGGUCCAUCACAUCUACUCCACCAUUCAAUCAUGGUUGAUCUAUCUCUCCCAUUCGCCUGCCUUCUCCCCAUAACCUUUGGCACCUGUACUAAUCAAAAUGACUGCUAUUAUUUGUAUGGGUAACCCCUGGCAUCCCCUCCUAACUGGAAACAUGUGAGAAGGUGAACCCAGUGAUGUUUGUUUUUACGAUUGUGAAGCGACCUGAUUAAUUCGAGCAAAGCUGUGGGUGAGUUGGUACCAUCAUUUCACCUCACCCAUAAUAUUAAACACGUGUGGAGGCAGCGUUCUUAUAUUGCAUGUGUUGCAAACUGGCUGAGGGCAGCUGUAAGUAAUGCAAACAAUCAGCUGCUGAUUCUACAACACCUGUAGGUGUCUAAAGUGCACUAUUGGUUACACGUAUCUUCAGCAUAGUGAUGUGUUCUGAGUUAUCACGUCGUCAAUGUUAACUGUUCAGUAAAGUUGGAGAGGAACAGUGGAUUUGUAAGAGAAAUUUCAUUUACUGCGGUAGAGAUAGAAUGGACUCUCUUUAUUCGCCACCCCACACACACCCCCAUUGCCUGAAGCGUCGCGGUGUAAAGCAAUGCUUGUCGGAAUUACGAGGUUUUAAUGAUAUUUCCUGGAUUCUCCCAUCCGUCACCUUUUGGGGGGGAAGUGACUACUUAACGUGUCUGGGAAUUUCAAGAUGCUGCUUGGCCUGCUGAGUUCCUCCAGCGAUUUGUUUCUUCAUCAAGAUUCCAGCAACUGCAGUCCAUUGUCUCUAGAAUAUUGUUUAAAUGGAGAAAGGUUACAAAUUGCUAUGGAGCAGAGGCAUCUGUGUUUCUGUACACAAAACAAGAUGCUGUCUGGUCUGCCGAGUUCCUCCAGCACUUUGGUCUUUGUUCAAGAGUUUCACAAUCAAGAUGCAAGAAUCAUCUUAGAUUAUAAUACAAACACCCAAAUAUCCUGAUCUCAGUUAAACUGCGUGGGCAUGUGGAUGAUAUACUGGAGUGCACGUGGAUGAUAUAUUGUAAUUUUCUAUUACACUAUGGAGAAUUACCAAGGCAGAGCUUGUGGUUCCCAUUGUUCCUAACGUGGGGAAAUGUAGGUUAACCAAACAAAAACAUAUUUUGUUUAAACUCUUUGCUUGGGCUUUUGCAUCACUUAUCACAGCAAAGCAGUAUUUUAAAAGAAA
Long non-coding RNA from Leucoraja erinaceus (little skate), 2332 nucleotides. RefSeq lists it as uncharacterized. NCBI's taxonomy places the organism in Eukaryota, Metazoa, Chordata, Chondrichthyes, Rajiformes, Rajidae. The transcript has 4 exons. The record is from RefSeq and is a predicted model, not a curated record.